Long non-coding RNA from Homo sapiens (human), 1625 nucleotides. The record is from Ensembl. NCBI's taxonomy places the organism in Eukaryota, Metazoa, Chordata, Mammalia, Primates, Hominidae.
GGGUCCAGUGUCUCCGGCGUGUCCUGCAUCUCGGCAGCCAGCUCCUCUGCAGCUCAGGCCCCGUGAGUCACAGCCGCUUCCUCAAAUGCUUUGGCUGACCGCAUCCCCCCGCCCCGCCAGAACCCUGGAUGCCGGAGCCCUCCCAGCGAGAGCCGUGUUUAUUUUACUUUACAUACAUUUUCCAACACGGAGCGGCUUGCACACAUGCAGCUCUUAGGCCCGGGCCGCACGUCUCAGAAGCCCCGUGUGCGACUUUGACCGCCGCACGAUCCUCUGCCGGGGGAGGUGGGCCCGCUGCGCUUUGGGAGCACCCGCGCCCGACACUGAGGUCUCGGUGCUGUGUUCGGCCUCUUCGUCCCUGCGGGUCCCCUCUGGGAGCAGAGGCGGUCGGAAAACCCUGGGGCUGAAGUGCAGGCUUCGGGAGGACGCGACCUGCCAAGAUCAGCUCCCGGCACGUGAUGGGAGCCUGGCUCACCUUCCCCCAGCGCACGAUGGGCCGCAGCCUCCCCGGUCGGCCUGGCCUGCUGGAAAGGAGCAGCUCUGUUUCCAGAGGCUUCUGGCGAAGCCCACGGCCUCCCAUUGUUGGCUGAUUUAUAAGGAAAGAGGGGAAAGGCCAAGUGUGGAUGCCAUUAGCAUAACCUAAUCCAGACCCCAUGACAAGUCCAGGAUCCUGCAGGGAGAGGGCAUCCUUGAACGUGAAGGACUGGCUUUGGAAACUUGGCCUCCCGGAAGAAAGGUCUCCGGGCCCACCCACACCCACCUUGUGGACGCCCCCGCAGUCGAAUACACUCCACAGGAAGACGGACCACAAACAGCAGCAGCCUCCGGUGUCGGCCCAGUGAUCCGGGAGCUCAGAGUUGGCUCUGCAGAAACCCAUGAAAGAGGAUCCUGAAAGAGCAAGGGCGGCCUCCAGGUGAAGGUGGUGGGCGGCCUCCAGGUGAAGGCGGCCUCCAGGUGAAGGUGGUCAGCACCCUCCCUUUGGCCAAGAGGAGACUGCAGUUUCAACUCAAAGAUUAUUCCUGAAUGAUGCAGCAAGCUUAAACUUCCUUAAAAACAAACCUCUGGGAAGAGGAAAACGAGGCAAGAUGCUGAGAAAAAGUCAUCUCCCACUCUGCCCUUCUCUGGCAAAUCGAAGUGUCCUCUUGUGGGAGGCGGUGGGCAGCGACACUCCUGUUGGACGUCAGUGCUCUCGGGAUGGGCCCGGCCACCCCGGAGCAGAACUCACUUAGGGCCUGGUGCCCCUGUGCCCAGUUCUCAGAACGUCGGAGUGCUCAGUUCUCAGAACGCCGGAGUGCCCCAUUCAUAACCUGCAGCCCCGUUCAUAGCCUGCAGCUCCCCUCCUUCCUCUCCUCCCGGUCGUCAGGGAGCACCCCCAGCUCCCCUCCCCACUCUCAAACCCUCCUCCUCCCUCCCCUCUCUCAUUUCCCUGUUUGCAGGAUCUCCUCCUGCCCACUCUCCAGCCCAGGUCCUCCCCUCUCAUCUCCAAUUCUGCUUCAUGGGCCAUGACAGCAGGCAGGCCAUGGCCUGCUCUCAGCAGUUUGAUCGAUGGACUAAGGAGAUCACUCCUAUGAGAGUGAAAAAGUCAAAUGUGCCUGAGAUUCGGAUGGGGAGCUCUCAAAGCUACG